This 489-nucleotide ribosomal RNA is filed under the name Triticum aestivum (bread wheat). RNAcentral's name for it is "partial small subunit ribosomal RNA". Lineage: Eukaryota; Viridiplantae; Streptophyta; Magnoliopsida; Poales; Poaceae. The record is from RNAcentral.
AUGGAAGCAAUGUUACCUUGUGUUAUUGGAAUGCUUAUAGGGAUGGGAAGAACAUGUGUGUUUGUUCAUCAUGGGGACAAGGACGCCUUUUUGAAAGGCAAUGUAGAACCGGACCCGGAUGAGGUUGACAUGGUGUUUGAUAGUAGUCCUAGCUAUGCGGAGCUCUUGCAACAAGUUAGGGAAGAUUUGAAUUGGACGGACCCUAGUGAUAUCAUAGAGUUGGAGGGAAGGCAUAAUGUUGGUUUUGGAAUGCACAUCCGUUGGAAGACAAUGCGUGUCAACUCGGAGCAACGUUGGGUUGCAUACAAGGAGACGGUGGCCGAAUCACUAGACAAGGCUCUUGAGUUAUUUGCAACGAAGAAGGUUGGUUCAAGUUUGCAUUUGGACUUGAACCGGAACCCCUCCCCUUUGGUUGCUAGUAGCCCCACACCCUUGAAGCGAGAUGAACUUGUUGAACCUCUUUUGACCCAAGAAGUGAGGCCAACAUGA